CCAGCCACCAUGGAAUUCCAGGCGGGGUUGCAGGCAGGUGGGUGCACCACCCACUCCACCACAACGCCACAACACCACCCACAUUCACCACUUAAGCCAAUUUUGAUAGCGGCUUAUUGAUGGCCGAGCGAAUGGCGAUUUGUGCGUUAGUCUCGCUCGAGCUCGCCGAUUGAAUCAGUGCGGAAAUGGGACGAGGACGAGAUCGAUGGGCAGUUCGUGGUCUGCAAUCUGUGCCCUUGUGCCCCUGUGCGACUCAGGCUAGCUGCUUCUAGCACUUGAUAUAUUGAAACGCCGGAUCGACAAGGCUUCAGAUGUGAGGAAAUGUCGACUGGCACUUCCUUUAGCGAGUAUUGUUAACCGCUGCUAUGCCCAUCAAUUAUGCCGGUAGGUUCCUUACAAACCUAUUGGCCUAUAAACUAAUCGCAUAAUUGCACAAAAGUAAUUAUCCUUGGGCUGAGCCCCGGCUAGCUCAUUGUGCAGCAACUAUGCGGCACAUUCUAUAUAUCCUAUCCUGCAUCCUUAGGCCCUAGUGCUUAGCCCUCAUACCCUGGCGCUCUGAUUUUUCCACCUUGCUGGCCAACUAUGCAGCUCAUCCGCUCCGCUGAACGCCGCCAGAAGGAAGUGCCGUACAGGCCGUACAGGACCAAAAUCGCAGGACGCAGACUGCGGUAUGCAGGACUCGGAUCGCUGCAAACCAGUUGAAAAAACACAACGGGCCGAAGAACACAAACACAAGGACAGCUCUUUGUUUGCAGAAAGCGAAAGAGAGGUGAAAUUAAAAUCAAGCUGUUGAUAGCAAUCACACGCUUCUUGGCUGCCCGAAAUGAAUAAGUGCUAUCCUUGUAUUGAGUAUACUAAGGCUCUCAGUAAGCUGACAUCUUGUUGAUUUCCUAAGGAGACCACAAUUUGGCGCACCGGCACUUCUCUCAGUGGACAUGUCCUGGCUGCCGUCUUUGCAACUCCGAUGGCGAUGCCGAGAGACAGGGAUGCAUGCAUCACUAGCCGUCACAUGACCAACUGCCUUGGCUUCCUGCUCUCGACCAAUCUGCGACUGUCAUCCAUCAUUCCAUUUACUGGAUGCUUGCCAUUUCUUUGGCUCCCGAAUCUCGGCCUCUUCAUCUGCAUCUCCUGAAACAAGGCGAAGUAGGGUAAAGUGAUGUAGUUAGGGUUGACAUCCUCAAGUGGCCCAGUGGCAUUGUUCGCCAAUUUGCGUUUGUCGAGCGUGCAGUAAUUAAGUUGAAGUUGCACAGUAGAUCCCCGAUAAGCAUGGGGAUCAGGAUACGGCCACGGUGGUUAGGGAUAAUCCGCAAGGAUCGAAAGAAUAUGGCCCCCGAUCUUUUGUGCCUCUUCUGAACAUCAAUCGGGGCAAUUGGAUUGACAUUAUCGUAUCGCAGGAUGAGGAUCUGGUGCGAAGUAAUUGUGACCCACGGUAAUUGAUUCGUAAUAUAACUCCUGAGUUAUUACAGAAUGAUCCUUUGAUAAUAAUUUGAAAACGAUCACAAGUAACAGUGCCACAGCACUGAAAUAGAUAUUCGAAGUCAUGAAGAUAAUCGUUGCCUUCUGCCUUUGAGCUACUCCU
RNAcentral lists this small RNA (1579 nucleotides) under Drosophila yakuba. RNAcentral's name for it is "GE27484". Lineage: Eukaryota; Metazoa; Arthropoda; Insecta; Diptera; Drosophilidae. The record is from RNAcentral.